AGGGAUGGCUGAGCGUGAGGAUGCAGCCAGUGUCCAGGCUGCUCUCCUGGACGCUGAGCAGGGUCCUGUGGCUCUCGGGCCUCUCUGAACCGGGAGCUGCCCGGCAGCCCCAAAUCAUGGAAGAGAAAGCACUAGAGGUUUAUGAUUUGAUUAAACUAUCCGGGACCCAGAAAAGCGCAAUACUUUAGAAGAACUGGAAGUGGUCUCAGAAAGUUGUGUGGAAGUUCAGAAGAUAAAUGAAGAAUAUCUGGUUAUUAUCAGGUUCACGUCAACAGUACCUCAUUGCUCUCUGGCGACUCUUAUUGGGCUGUGCUUAAGAGUAAAGCUUCAGCGAUGUUUACCAUUUAAACAUAAGUUGGAAAUCUACAUUUCUGAAGGAACCCACUCAACAGAAGAAGACAUCAAUACACAGAUAAAUGACAAAGAGCGAGUGGCAGCUGCAAUGGAAAACCCCAACUUACAGGAAAUUGUGGAACAGUGUGUCCUUGAACCUGACUGAUAGCUGUUUUAAGAGCCAUUGGCCUGUAAUUGUUUGAUAUAUUUGUUUAAACUCUUUGUAUAAUGUCAAAGACUCAUGUUUAAUACAUAGGUGAUUUGUACCUCAGAGCAUUUUUUUAAAAGAUUCUUUCCAAGCGAGAUUUAAUUAUAAGGUAGUACCUAAUUUGUUCAAUGUAUAACAUUCUCAGGAUUUGUAACACUUAAAUGAUCAGACAGAAUAAUAUUUUCUAGUUAUUAUAUGUAAGAUGAGUUGCUAUUUUUCUGAUGCUCAUUCUGAUACAACUACUUUUCAUGUCAAAUAUCUACUGUGCCCAAAUGUACUCAAUUCAAAUCAUUACUCUGUAAAAUAAAUAAGCAGAUGAUUCUU
RNA transcript from Piliocolobus tephrosceles (Ugandan red Colobus), 865 nucleotides. It is a transcript of the gene named cytosolic iron-sulfur assembly component 2A pseudogene, with no coding region annotated. NCBI's taxonomy places the organism in Eukaryota, Metazoa, Chordata, Mammalia, Primates, Cercopithecidae. The record is from RefSeq and is a predicted model, not a curated record. The transcript has a single exon.